Molecule: ribosomal RNA, 235 nt
Filed under: uncultured bacterium
Lineage: Bacteria
Description: partial 16S ribosomal RNA
Rfam family: Bacterial small subunit ribosomal RNA
Source: RNAcentral
CAACGUAGAUAAUCUACCUAAAAGUUUGGAAUAACCGGCCGAAAGGCUGGCUAAUACUGAAUAGAGCGACGGAACUCAUAAUGAGUUUUUCGGGAAAGGGAGCCUGCAAGGGCCCUCGCUUUUAGAUGAGUCUGCGUCCCAUUAGUUAGUUGGCAGGGUAACGGCCUACCAAGACUUUGAUGGGUAGCUGGUCUGAGAGGAUGAUCAGCCACACUGGAACUGAAACACGGUCCAG